UUUGUGAAAAUUUUAAUAAAAAAAUUCGCAAAUGCUCGGGUUGAUUAGUCAAACGGAGCAUUUGGUGUCAAAUGCUUCGGUUGUCAACCCGAGCAUUUAAAUCCUCUCUCAAUUCAUGAAACCCCUCACACUGUACGUACUAAAAUGAUUUUCGACUCUCCUCAUCAGUCAUUAUCGUUCCCUCUCUUUAUUAUUUUCUCUCCCUCCCAAGUCCCUCGAUUCCCUCAAAUGAAACCUCCGCCAUCCCUCCCUUCCUCUGUCAUCCCUCCUUAUCAAGUCCCGCCGAACAAAGAUUCCUCCGCCAGUUACUGCCCCGCCGUCUGCUAUCGAGGGUAUUAUCUCGCCCUUUUCUUUUUUUCUUAUUUGUCGACUUUUAGGGUUUUUUUUUUGUUUCUCUGUUGCUUAUUUUUUUGGAUUUGGAAAUUUCUGGAUUUAGUUGUGUUGAUGUAAGAUCUGCUUCAUUAAAGCAUUCAAGUUCAAUACUUGUGAAGUUUCCUUUGAUUUGAUUUGAUUUUGAAUUGGUUGAAGAUUCGGUUUUAACUUCUUAGGGGUUUCAAUUGAUUCGCUGCAUUUUUCGGGAUUUUUUGGUUCAUUCAUGGUUUCCCCUUUCUUAUGAGUAUCUUCUAUCUAAUUUCUUUCUAUUUUUGUUUUUGAUUUUGUAUGUUGAUCUGAAUUUUCUUUAAUUUUUUUGGAUUUCAUGUUAGUCUACGGUUUUGUCGUGGUUUAGAUCUCGAGUUUUGUGAUAUUUGUAUGUUGAUCUAUGCCUUGCAGGAGCAUUUCGUGAUUUUUUAACAGUGUCACACCCAUAAACUGAUUUACACACACUGGAUUAGACAUUUGAUUUAUCCCUGGUGGUUGAUGUGCAAAGUUUGUUAUGUUCUUGUUAAGAGACAAUUGAUCCUGAUUAAAUUACAAUGUGGUGAUUACUUUUUAGGUGUUUUCACCCACAGAUUUCUGCCUUUUGGUUCCUGUGUUUAUUGCUUUUCUAGAUUAAAAAGUAUAGAUUAGUAUCUUCAGAACCUUAAUAUAUGUAGAUUUCUGCAUUCUGGAGUAAAAUUUUUUUCCUUUUUGUCUGAUAGCCGGGAAAAUAUGCCCCAAGUUUUCUGAGGAAUUGAUGCACCAUUGUGCAGGUAACUAGGGUAUACAGGGGAAAGGAACAUGCUGAAAUAGAGUUCACGAUUGAACCCAUAUCUGUUGCUGAUGGAAUUGGGAAAGAAAUAAUCACCCAGAUUAAAACGACCAUGAAGACAAAUAGAACUUUCUACACAGAUUCUAAUGGUCGUGACUUCAUAAAAAGGGUGAGUUUUUUCUUUUUUGUUUCUUUUUUUCCUAUUAACUGAACAAAGCUACAUAUGCGGUUUCCUCUCUUGUUGUUGUUUUCUUUUUGUUUGCGUAGUAUUUGAACUUUGAAGGAAGUUGUGUUGUAAAAUGUUGGUUCCUUUUUACCCAUCAUUUUUAUCUCUCUCCUCAAACUUAACAAAUGUUUUGUUUUUUAAAUUAACUUCAAUAACGUGUUUCCUUUUCAAAGAUUACAUAUUAUUUUGAAAUUUUGUUAAAGUAACCUUGAUUUUAUAUCUUCGUUCCUGUGAUAAAUUGUAAAAUGAGCUGGCAUAGUUGAUAAGACAUGGUUUUUUUUCCAGAUAAGAGAUAACAGAGCAGAUCGGGACUUAAAAGUCAGCCAGCCAAUUGUAGGAAAUUAUUACCCGAUAAACCUUGGAAUAUAUAUGGAAGAUGGAAACAAUGAACUCUCCGUGCUUGUCGAUCGUGCAGUUGGAGGGUCAGCAUAAUGGAUGGCCAGAUAGAGUUAAUGCUUCAUAGGAGGCUACUUCAUGAUGAUUCUAGAGGUGUUGGUGAGGUACUCAAUGAAACAGUUUGUGCCCUUGAUGAGUGUGAAGGCUUAACGAUAUGUCUCUCAGCACUUAGGCGUUCUGUUUAUAUUCACUAUUUUAUUUUGGACAUGGACCAAACAGUGUUAUCUUAUAUGCACUUUUUUAUUU
Molecule: long non-coding RNA, 1997 nt
Organism: Beta vulgaris subsp. vulgaris (sugar beet)
Lineage: Eukaryota; Viridiplantae; Streptophyta; Magnoliopsida; Caryophyllales; Amaranthaceae
Exons: 4
Source: RefSeq, a predicted model, not a curated record